GACGGGAGGUACAAGCGUUACUCGGAAUUACUGGGCGUAAAGCGUCCGCAGCCGAUUUCUUAAGUCUGGUGUGAAAGCACGGAGCUCAACUCCGUGUACGUGCCGGAAACUGGGAAAAUUGAGUCAUCUAGAGGCACCUGGAAUGCCAUGUGUAGGGGUAAAAUCCGUUGAUCCAUGGUAGAACGCCAAAAGCGAAGGCAGGGUGCUGGGGAUGUACUGACGGUCAGGGACGAAAGCGUGGGGAGCAAACGGG
This 253-nucleotide ribosomal RNA is filed under the name uncultured bacterium. Its description in RNAcentral is "partial 16S ribosomal RNA". It matches the Rfam family "Bacterial small subunit ribosomal RNA", at positions 524 to 776 of the family's 1533-position model. The record is from RNAcentral.